This 426-nucleotide ribosomal RNA is filed under the name uncultured bacterium. Its description in RNAcentral is "bacterial SSU rRNA". It matches the Rfam family "Bacterial small subunit ribosomal RNA", at positions 355 to 772 of the family's 1533-position model. The record is from RNAcentral.
UGGGGAAUUGUUCGCAAUGGGCGCAAGCCUGACGACGCAACGCCGCGUGGAGGAUGAAGAUUUUCGGAUCGUAAACUCCUGUCGAGUGGGAAGAACAGUUCUGGGGUGAACAAUCCUGGAGCCUGACGGUACCACUAAAGGAAGCCCCGGCUAACUCCGUGCCAGCAGCCGCGGUAAUACGGGGGGGGCAAGCGUUGUUCGGAAUUACUGGGCGUAAAGGGCUCGUAGGCGGCCAACUAAGGCGGAUGUGAAAUCCCCAGGCUCAAACUGGGAACUGCAUCCGAUACUGGAUGGCUUGAAUUCGGGAGAGGGAUGCAGAAUUCCAGGUGUAGCGGUGAAAUGCGUAGAUAUCUGGAGGAACACCGGUGGCGAAGGCGGCAUCCUGGACCGAAACUGACACUGAGGCGCGAAAGCUAGGGGAGCAAA